UCUUCCUUGGUCUAGUGGUCAUGAUUUCCGCUUGUCAUUUCAUCUGCUACAAGCGCGGGAGACCGGGGUUCGAUUCCCCGAGGGAGAG
Molecule: transfer RNA, 88 nt
Filed under: Lentithecium fluviatile CBS 122367
Lineage: Eukaryota; Fungi; Ascomycota; Dothideomycetes; Pleosporales; Lentitheciaceae
Rfam family: tRNA
About the family: Transfer RNA (tRNA) molecules are approximately 80 nucleotides in length. Their secondary structure includes four short double-helical elements and three loops (D, anti-codon, and T loops).
Source: Rfam by way of RNAcentral